UGGGGAAUAUUGCACAAUGGGCGCAAGCCUGAUGCAGCCAUGCCGCGUGUGUGAAGAAGGCCUUCGGGUUGUAAAGCACUUUCAGCGGGGAGGAAGGCGAUAAGGUUAAUAACCUUGUCGAUUGACGUUACCCGCAGAAGAAGCACCGGCUAACUCCGUGCCAGCAGCCGCGGUAAUACGGAGGGUGCAAGCGUUAAUCGGAACUACUGGGCGUAAAGCGCACGCAGGCGGUUUGUUAAGUCAGAUGUGAAAUCCCCGGGCUCAACCUGGGAACUGCAUCUGAUACUGGCAAGCUUGAGUCUCGUAGAGGGGGGUAGAAUUCCAGGUGUAGCGGUGAAAUGCGUAGAGAUCUGGAGGAAUACCGGUGGCGAAGGCGGCCCCCUGGACGAAGACUGACGCUCAGGUGCGAAAGCGUGGGGAGCAAACAGG
RNAcentral lists this ribosomal RNA (429 nucleotides) under Chloroflexota bacterium. Its description in RNAcentral is "Chloroflexi bacterium partial 16S ribosomal RNA". It matches the Rfam family "Bacterial small subunit ribosomal RNA", at positions 355 to 776 of the family's 1533-position model. Lineage: Bacteria; Bacillati; Chloroflexota. The record is from RNAcentral.